Molecule: ribosomal RNA, 430 nt
Filed under: uncultured bacterium
Lineage: Bacteria
Description: partial 16S ribosomal RNA
Rfam family: Bacterial small subunit ribosomal RNA
Source: RNAcentral
GUGGGGAAUAUUGCACAAUGGGCGCAAGCCUGAUGCAGCAACGCCGCGUGAGGGAUGACGGCCUUCGGGUUGUAAACCUCUUUUAGUAGGGAAGAAGCGAAAGUGACGGUACCUGCAGAAAAAGCACCGGCUAACUACGUGCCAGCAGCCGCGGUAAUACGUAGGGUGCAAGCGUUGUCCGGAAUUAUUGGGCGUAAAGAGCUCGUAGGCGGCUUGUCGCGUCUGCUGUGAAAUCCCGGGGCUCAACCCCGGGCCUGCAGUGGGUACGGGCAGGCUAGAGUGCGGUAGGGGAGAUUGGAAUUCCCGGUGUAGCGGUGGAAUGCGCAGAUAUCAGGAGGAACACCGAUGGCGAAGGCAGAUCUCUGGGCCGCUACUGACGCUGAGGAGCGAAAGCAUGGGGAGCGAACAGGAUUAGAUACCCGGGUAGUCC